AGUGAACGCUGGCGGUAGGCCUAACACAUGCAAGUCGAACGGCAGCACAGGGGAGCUUGCUCUCUGGGUGGCGAGUGGCGGACGGGUGAGGAAUACAUCGGAAUCUACUUUUUCGUGGGGGAUAACGUAGGGAAACUUACGCUAAUACCGCAUACGACCUACGGGUGAAAGCAGGGGACCUUCGGGCCUUGCGCGAUUGAAUGAGCCGAUGUCGGAUUAGCUAGUUGGCGGGGUAAAGGCCCAACAAGGCGACGAUCCGCAGCUGGUCUGAGAGGAUGAUCAGCCACACUGGAACUGAGACACGGUCCAGACUCCUACGGGAGGCAGCAGUGGGGAAUAUUGGACAAUGGGCGCAAGCCUGAUCCAGCCAUACCGCGUGGGUGAAGAAGGCCUUCGGGUUGUAAAGCCCUUUUGUUGGGAAAGAAAUCCAGCUGGCUAAUACCCGGUUGGGAUGACGGUACCCAAAGAAUAAGCACCGGCUAACUUCGUGCCAGCCGCCGCAGUAA
This 506-nucleotide ribosomal RNA is filed under the name uncultured bacterium. RNAcentral's name for it is "partial 16S ribosomal RNA". It matches the Rfam family "Bacterial small subunit ribosomal RNA", at positions 29 to 523 of the family's 1533-position model. The record is from RNAcentral.